Pelobates cultripes (western spadefoot toad) is the source of this 94-nucleotide non-coding RNA. The record is from the annotation of a GenBank genome assembly. NCBI's taxonomy places the organism in Eukaryota, Metazoa, Chordata, Amphibia, Anura, Pelobatidae.
GUCAGUGUGUGUGUGUGUGUGUCAGUAUGUCUGUCUUUGUGUGUGUCAGGCAUACUGACACACACAGACAGACAUACUGACUCACACUGACAUA